CUGUAAAAUGGCCAUAAAGAGUCUUUGUACAUAUUUACAGUAAUAGACUUUAAGUGAAUUAUGGUACGAAGUAAUUCUGGGAUAUUACCCAAUAAUAAUUGAGAUCUAUUUAAAUAUGGGCCCAAGCUAUUAAAUGAAAUAUUAUGUUGAGUUGGAAGAAUUCUAUUUAAGACACAACUAUUAUCUGAUGCUAUUAUCUUAAGGCAAAAGCGUUCAGCUAUUUGAAAUCUUCUGAAAUGCAGAGGGGGAAUGCAGGUUUCACAUUGCAUAGCAUUAAUGGGGGUAGAGCACAUAGCACCAGAAAUUAUUCUUAAUGCUUUAUUUUGUAUGAUAUCCAAUUUCUUUAAGGUAGUAAUAUUUGCAUUCAUAUAAGCUAAUGAGCUGUAGUCAAAGUGACUACGAACUAUGCUUUUGUAUAACAUUGAUAAUAUCUUUGGGUCAGAUCCCCAAUGAACUCCAGCAAGAGAUUUCAAUAUAUUGAGUCCUUUACAAGCAUUUUUAAUUAUAUAAUUAAUAUGAGGUUGAAAUGUUAGUCUUUGAUCCAACCAUAUCCCUAAAAAUUUCUUAUCUUCUAACCAUGGUAAUGGACAAUUAUUAUAAAUAACUCUAGAGUUACAUAUGGUAUGUUUUUUACUAAAUAGCAUGACUCCACUUUUAUUAGGACUUAUGUUCAACUUGAGUUUUCCAAAAUAGAAAGAAUGGACCUGUUCAAGGGCAUCAUUUAAGUUAUUUACAGCUAUAUUUACAUUUCUAUUUACAGUGUAUAUUAACAAAUCAUCGGCAAACUGCAAAAAUUUUACAUUUGUUAGGAUAUGACCUGGAAUGCCUAUUUCGGACAGGAUUUGUAUUAGUACAGAUGGAUUAACAUUAUCGAAGGCACCUUGGACAUCAAGAAAUGCACAAACAGUUGCUGAGUGACCAUGAAAGGAAUUCUUAAUGUCUUCUACAAGAGAAGUGAAACUUUCUGCAGCACUACGCCCCUUUCGAAAUCCAAAUUGUUGUUCAGGAGGAGAUUGAGGUGCAUAUUUAUCCAGAAAAGAGGGGAUCCACUCAUCAUUUUUGGGUGUUUUGGAUAAGAACUUCAGCCAGUCAGCUUUGCUGUACACAAAACGAUCAAUGGGACUACCUAUUUCAUAUUUAUGUACUGAAGUCUGUAUAUCAAUAAUAGUGGGAAAGUGAUAGCUGCCCAUGGAGUCAUCAUGAACUCUCCAGUGGCAGAGUGAAGCUAAGGAUGGACUUAUGCAGGAUAUAUCUAUUGCUGAGGGAUUUUUAUUAGGGCUACCUACUGUGGUUGGAGUUCCAGUAUUUAGAAUACAUAAGUCGUAUUCAUCUAUAAUAUUGUAUAUCUCACUACCUCUGGAGUUAGUGGAAAGGCAACCAAAGGCAACAUGAUGUGCAUU
Plutella xylostella (diamondback moth) is the source of this 1400-nucleotide non-coding RNA. Lineage: Eukaryota; Metazoa; Arthropoda; Insecta; Lepidoptera; Plutellidae. The record is from RefSeq and is a predicted model, not a curated record.